RNAcentral lists this ribosomal RNA (253 nucleotides) under uncultured bacterium. RNAcentral describes it as "partial 16S ribosomal RNA". It matches the Rfam family "Bacterial small subunit ribosomal RNA", at positions 524 to 776 of the family's 1533-position model. The record is from RNAcentral.
UACGUAGGGUGCGAGCGUUACUCGGAAUUACUGGGCGUAAAGCGUGCGCAGGCGGCGCACCAAGCUCGAUGUGAAAGCCCCGGGCUUAACCUGGGAACUGCGUUUGAAACUGGGAGGCUAGAGUGUGGAAGAGGGGGGUGGAAUUCCAGGUGUAGCAGUGAAAUGCGUAGAGAUCUGGAGGAACACCGAUGGCGAAGGCAGCCCCCUGGGCUAACACUGACGCUCAUGCACGAAAGCGUGGGGAGCAAACAGG